CGGCGGACGGGUGAGUAACGCGUGGGUAACCUGCCUCAUACAGGGGGAUAACAGUCAGAAAUGACUGCUAAUACCGCAUAAGACCACGGUACCGCAUGGUACAGUGGUAAAAACUCCGGUGGUACAGGAUGGGCCCGCGUCUGAUUAGCUGGUUGGCAGGGUAACGGCCUACCAAGGCGACGAUCAGUAGCCGGUCUGAGAGGAUGAACGGCCACAUUGGAACUGAGACACGGUCCAA
This 238-nucleotide ribosomal RNA is filed under the name uncultured bacterium. Its description in RNAcentral is "partial 16S ribosomal RNA". It matches the Rfam family "Bacterial small subunit ribosomal RNA", at positions 96 to 334 of the family's 1533-position model. The record is from RNAcentral.